Macaca fascicularis (crab-eating macaque) is the source of this 1561-nucleotide long non-coding RNA. The record is from Ensembl. Lineage: Eukaryota; Metazoa; Chordata; Mammalia; Primates; Cercopithecidae.
UUUUUUUUUCCUUUUUUUUUUUUUUGAGACAAGGUCUCACCCUGUCACCCAGGCUGGAGUGAAGUGGCACAAUCUCAGCUCACUGCAACCUCCACCUCCCCGGUUCAAGCGAUUCUCCCACCUCAGCCUCCUGAGUAGCUGAGACUACAGGUGUGCACCACCACACCUGGCUAAUUUUUGCAUUUUUUGGUAGUGAUGGAAUUUCUUUCAUCAUGUUGGCCAGGUUAGCACCCAUUUUUUCUAAAUGGGAAAAUGGAGACUCAGAGGUGGCAUGAGUUAAUAAGUGGAGGAGCCUGGAUUUUAUUUCAGGUCUGUCUGGCUGCAGAGACCAAUACUGUUGUGGCACAGCCCUUUCCCCAGGGUUAUAGGGAAUCCCCCUAAUCCUUGAAUCGGGCUGGCAGAAGCUUCUUCCUUCUCUGGCUUGCCAGAAACCAAUAAUCUGUAGUCUGAAAAAAUGACACAUGUAUCCCUGAGGCCUAAGAAUACUCUCAAUUAAAAUUGCAUUUUUAAAUCACAAUUAUAACAUUGUAUUGUUUGAUUUCAGAAUACUUGUGUUGUUAAGUUGUUUCCGAGAGUUAAACCUCAGGCUAGGCUACUUUAGUCAGAUUUAUGUGACUCACUUAAUGCAGUAUAAUACAAUGAUAUCAUGAUUUGCAAUCCUGUGGUACAUAAUAAACGUAAUUGGCACAUGUGAGUGAAGGAAGCUUGUAUUGAAAGGGACUUAUUUAUAAUGGAUUCUGGGGAUUAACCAUAGGAAUGAAGGGAUUUACUGAAAGUGGAAGGUUAAUUUCAGGUCAUAAAAAAUAUUUGCAUAGCAACACCAUGUGUUUAAUUGGUAGUCGCAUGAAGAAUCAUCAAAACAUCCAGCGAAUGAAUGCAUUAAAAUUACCUAUCAGGGUGCUUUCUGUUGCAAGUGACUCAAAUUGGUUUGAACAUGGGCUUACAGGAUUUAUUUACUAAACUGUCCAGGGGUAGAUCUGACUGGACUCAAGAACUCAAAAGCUGUGUUCAGGACCUUGUUUCUCUCUUCAUUUCAGGGCCCUGCUUACUUUAUGUUGAAUCCAUUUUCACAGACUCUCCUCUGUGGUCCCAAGAUGGCAACUGCCAGCUUCUAGCUUUUGUGGCUACAGACUUCUUGGUUGGUGUUAACAGGAAAAAGUAAAGGGCCUUUGUUUAGUUUUCAUUAAGGCUUAUUGGUCCUCAAUGGGUCAUGUGCUUAUCCCUGAGCUAAUCACUAUAGCCAGGGGAGUGGGAUGCACUGAUUGGCACAGCCCUAGGUCACAUGCUCCAACCUUGAGUCCAGAGGUUGAAAGUGAGUAGAUCCUACAGGAAAAAAGGGUGGGGCUAUCAGAAGUGUGAAUGAAAGAUGGGAAGCAAAACCAGCGAAUUCCAUUUUAGUCUGAUUUAGGAAAUUCUGAGGUGGGUUCAAAGAAGGGAUUCAGGGGUCUGUGGGUUCCCUGACAUUGUAGUUACAAGUUUGUGUUAAUGUCCAUUUUUCAGGGAGAGGAGCCAUGCUUUGAUUAGAUUAUCAAAAGGGUCCAUGACCCAAAAGAGUUAGCUA